UGGAGAACAGAGCGGACUUGUCUGCGAAAGCGGAUACCUGGAUUAAAAAACUGGCCACCACUUAAUCAGGCUCGCUGUUUUGUUUGAUAGACGUAGUUUGUUUCUUUAGUCAGAAUAAACUUUGCCUCAUUGUGCGUACAUUGUUAGUGGAUUGGGCAAGUGCGAUAACAACAGCCUUAUUUUUCUGUUGUUAGCAAGCUCUCUAGCCAUUUAGCUGGGUUAGGAUAGCUAACAGUUAGCUGGCGGAGCUUAUAUUCUAGUUUUUUUCUGUACUCCGGUGUUUAAAGUUCGCGUUUGUGUUGUUUUGUUAUAUUUUCUCUGUGAGGUUUGCUCUGUGUAAGCUGUGUUUAGCUAAUAAGCUUGGUAGCAGGUGCGUUUAGUCAAAAAGCCGUCCUUCGCAGUGUCGCACCUGGUGAAUGUAGCCCAGCGUGUCAGAUAUGCAGCACGUUAAUUUGAUCGCACGGAAGACACUUUACCGUGAACGGAAUACGAAGGGGACAGAUGAAAGCCGUUUUAUUUGACUAACGUGCUUACAAGGACAAUUAAUGGAGGUUUUGGGUUUAAACUACGCCUUGGGAUAGCAUCGAUUGUGCAGUUGUGGGGCAAUUGCAGGCGUCUGGAGAAGCUAUUUGGAGAUCUGAAUAUUCCCUGACACUGCAUGGAUUCAAUCUCGCACGUUUUGUGGAUGGGUUUUGUGGUCGUGCAAAAGCAACUGACCGAAUAAAUCUUCAGACAAGAGAAUUGCGGGCGUGAGUGAUGCAGCAGGCAUGACUGCUCUCGGAAUAAGACCAUUUUAAAACACGCCGGACCUAUGUGGCUAUAUCCAUCUGCGCUUUAAUUUAUGAUCCCACGGGGCUUCUUGCAGCCAUAGAGCCUGACGCUGCACCAUGCUGGCCUGCCUGCAGAGAAGACAGAACCAACCCCCCCAGCACCCGGUCUGUGUCGGCAAGAUCCUGGACACUCCUGUCCUCCAGAAAAGUGAGCAAGAGGAGAUCCAGUACCUCCCAUGGGUCAUUAGCCUCUGCAUGUGAAAAAUGGCGUCGGAAGAUGCACCCUGACGCAGACAGUAAAAAAAACUCCCACGAAUGGCUCUGUGCAAGGUCCAUACGCUGGGUUAUGUUAUAUAGCCAGAUGGGGUGGGGUAGUUUUUGAACGAGACCUUUUGUUCUUAGUAGAGCAGCUUACCUGCAGUCAGC
Electrophorus electricus (electric eel) is the source of this 1196-nucleotide long non-coding RNA. The record is from Ensembl. NCBI's taxonomy places the organism in Eukaryota, Metazoa, Chordata, Actinopteri, Gymnotiformes, Gymnotidae.